RNAcentral lists this long non-coding RNA (1898 nucleotides) under Daphnia magna. RNAcentral's name for it is "uncharacterized LOC116921896, transcript variant X9". Lineage: Eukaryota; Metazoa; Arthropoda; Branchiopoda; Diplostraca; Daphniidae. The record is from RNAcentral.
GAGUAAAGCUUAGACCAGGACUGCCACCGUCGACCGUGUUCAAAGUUAGUUGAAUCCGGGAUUUCGUCGCUUCUAUAUGUAAGAUGCAGGAUGACUGUGGAUAACGUGGUUAGCAUUUGGACAGCCAUGCUACUUGCUCGGCCUUCUAGCCAUGAUGGUCAUCGCCUCGUGGAUGAUACGUGAUGAUUUAGGUGUUCUAAAUUCCACAUUGCCUGUUGUCGAAUCAUGGGUCAUGGUUUUUUUUAUUGUAUUAGGAGUCUUCUACUCUGGGAUUACUCAUUUCAGGUGCUCUUGUAUCAGCAAAUGGUUGUCCAAUUGGGAGGAUAUCUGCGUGUCGUUUAUGUAUUGAACUCAUUUUUCUGUGGGAUUAUGGUUGUUCAGUCAUAUUUCAUUUUACAUUUCAUAAAUGUAAGAUGUUAUCCAGUGCUAGCAGCAGCGGUGGAAAAAUUGAUGCAAACGACAAUCACAUGCUUGGCAGGUGAAAUUUGGAAGAUGCUUUUUCGCAAUCGGCAUAAUUAUCCUUUGUAGAUCGGGUCUUAAUGCUGAUUGCUACUAUAACGAGUCGCUCAGGCUCUUGUCUUCUUUUCCUAAGGUAACCGUUGGCGGUCAUUUUGAAAGUGUGGUGCCGGAUUUUUUCUCCUUCCCUCGGUAUUUUUUUGCGCGACCUGCUACCGUUACGUAAAGCGUUGACGAUGGCUGGGAGCGACGGCCGUCAUUGGCCACCGGCCGUCGUGACCCCAGCCAUGGUGCCACCGUCACGAAAUCCUGUUUUACUUCAGGUUUUGGCUGUGGUAAUGGAGUCUCAUCUUGAACCUUGGUUCUGUAAGUUGAAUUUGCAAUUCGCUGCUGAUAAUCUAAGCCAAAUCUCUUUCUUAGCAUUUGACUGGGUUAGGGAAACAUAGCAAAUGGUCUAGACAUUAUUGGAAAUGGAAUGCUGGACGUCCGCGAGGUGAGAAUUGUCUAAGUUCUUUUUUAAUUGAAACAUGGUAGGUAAAUUUUUUGUUCAGCUUUAAUUUAUUUUGGAUGGGGAUUGGUUUCUGAUUUAUAUGAAAAUUCACCCGAUUGUCUUAUGUUUAUUGUUUGGAUUAACCACAAUAUUAGCCUUGAAUUCCCAUUUCAGAUUGUUCGGGUUCAUCGAAUGAAUGUACGUUUGAGUAUCUUGGCGAAACACGACGUAUUUGCAAAUGAUUUUAUGGUGUUUCUCGUUGACCAAUCACACCAAAUGUCCAAAUACAUGAAGUGAAAUACAGAAAAAUAUAGCGAAAAAGUUGUGGCUUCGAGGCGGGUGCUAGCAAUGUAUGGUUGUUACGUUUUCAGUGUUCUUUCCUAUACUCAAGCUGGGCUUCUGGCAAAAAUCGCAAUUAACAAGGUUGAUGUUAGUAACGGAAAGGAGGUGUUAAGGCUGGUGAAAGAUGAAAUGUCAGAAGAUUUUCCUAUACUUAAUUAAUGCUUAAAUAUUUACAAAAAAACAUGUUUAUCUCAGUUCCUUUAUUUACCGUAGCCAUGUUUCCCCAUGUCUUGUGAUCAUACUGUAGCAAUCAGCAGAGAAAGAAGGAACUGUCUGGAAAGAAGGCGAGUGGGCUGAUAAAAUUUAUGGGAAAAAUAGGGGGUAUGAAAAAAUGAGCCGAACAUUAUAUAAUAACUUAGAAUCAGAAAUUAUUGCCGUGGUAAAAAGCCGUUUAAAAUAAGAUGAAAUUUGCACCGUAGUUGUUGUAUUAAGAUGGUUAACUACAUAGUUGAUCUUUGGUUAACUGCUUGUAAUUUGCCCGUCUUUUGAUGUAUUUUAAUUAUGUAAAAUAAUAUUCCCAAUGAGUUCAUGCAUUAUCUUCAACAUUGUUGAUCUGUAACAAAAUUCAAUAUGUAUGAUUAAUUGUAAAUAAACAUUUCGAAUCAAUCAA